RNAcentral lists this non-coding RNA (98 nucleotides) under marine eukaryotic metagenome. RNAcentral's name for it is "Pyrrolysine insertion sequence mttB". It matches the Rfam family "Pyrrolysine insertion sequence mttB". The record is from RNAcentral.
UAGGCAGAUGCUAAAAUCUGUGAUUAUCAGUCCGGUCACGAAAAGACAAUCACCGCCCUGUUACCUGCGUUGGCAGGGGUCAACGUGAUAUACGGGUU